RNAcentral lists this ribosomal RNA (497 nucleotides) under uncultured bacterium. RNAcentral's name for it is "partial 16S ribosomal RNA". It matches the Rfam family "Bacterial small subunit ribosomal RNA", at positions 28 to 507 of the family's 1533-position model. The record is from RNAcentral.
GAUGAACGCUGGCGGCGUGCCUAAUACAUGCAAGUCGAGCGGACGGACGAGAAGCUUGCGUCGCGCAUGUUAGCGGCAGACGGGUGAGUAACACGUGUAUAACCUACCUAUAAGACUGGUAUAACUUCGGGAAACCGGAGCUAAUACCGUAUAAUAUUUUGAACCGCGUGGUUCAAAGGUGAAAGACGGUGUUGCGGUCACUUAUAGAUGGUUCCGCGCUGCAUUAGGUAGUUGGUAAGGUAACGGCUUACCAAGGCAACGAUGCAUAGCCGACCUGAGAGGGUGAUCGGCCACCCUGGAGGUGAGACACGGUCAAGAGUACUACGGGAGGCCGCAGUAGGGAAUGUUAGGCAGCGGGGGAGAGCAUGACGGAGCAAGGGCGAGCGAGUGAUGACGGCCUCCGGAUCGUAAAAAUGUGUUACGAGGGAAGAACCUAUGUCUAAGUAAACGUGGAGAUAUUGACGGUACCUAAUAAGAAAGCCACGGCUAACUACGUG